UACGGAGGGUGCAAGCGUUGUCCGGAUUUAUUGGGUUUAAAGGGUGCGUAGGCGGUCUAAUAAGUCAGUGGUGAAAGCCAACAGCUCAACUGUUGAACUGCCAUUGAUACUGCUAGACUUGAGUACAGACGAGGUAGGCGGAAUUGAUGGUGUAGCGGUGAAAUGCAUAGAUACCAUCAAGAACACCGAUUGCGAAGGCAGCUUACUAGGCUGAAACUGACGCUGAUGCACGAAAGUGUGGGGAGCAAACAGG
Molecule: ribosomal RNA, 253 nt
Filed under: uncultured prokaryote
Description: partial 16S ribosomal RNA
Rfam family: Bacterial small subunit ribosomal RNA
Source: RNAcentral